UGAGACCAGCUACCAAAAUGACCAG
Molecule: non-coding RNA, 25 nt
Filed under: Drosophila melanogaster (fruit fly)
Lineage: Eukaryota; Metazoa; Arthropoda; Insecta; Diptera; Drosophilidae
Source: RNAcentral